This 70-nucleotide transfer RNA is filed under the name Pardachirus pavoninus (Pacific sole). Its description in RNAcentral is "tRNA-Tyr". It matches the Rfam family "tRNA". Rfam says of the family: Transfer RNA (tRNA) molecules are approximately 80 nucleotides in length. Their secondary structure includes four short double-helical elements and three loops (D, anti-codon, and T loops). The record is from RNAcentral. Lineage: Eukaryota; Metazoa; Chordata; Actinopteri; Pleuronectiformes; Soleidae.
GGUAAGGUGGCUGAGUUUUAAGCGGUGGGUUGUAGCCCCAUGGACGAAGGUUCAAUUCCUUUCCUUAUCA